AGUGAACGCUGGCGGUAGGCCUAACACAUGCCAGUCGAACGGCAGCACAGUAAGAGCUUGCUCUUACGGGUGGCGAGUGGCGGACGGGUGAGGAAUACAUCGGAAUCUACUUUUUCGUGGGGGAUAACGUAGGGAAACUUACGCUAAUACCGCAUACGACCUACGGGUGAAAGCAGGGGAUCUUCGGACCUUGCGCGAUUGAAUGAGCCGAUGCCGGAUUAGCUAGUUGGCGGGGUAAAGGCCCACCAAGGCGACGAUCCGUAGCUGGUCUGAGAGGAUGAUCAGCCACACUGGAACUGAGACACGGUCCAGACUCCUACGGGAGGCAGCAGUGGGGAAUAUUGGACAAUGGGCGCAAGCCUGAUCCAGCCAUACCGCGUGGGUGAAGAAGGCCUUCGGGUUGUAAAGCCCUUUUAUUGGGAAAGAAAAGCAGCAGGUUAAUACCCCGCUGUUCUGACGGUACCCAAGGAAUAAGCACCGGCUAACUUCGUG
This 492-nucleotide ribosomal RNA is filed under the name uncultured bacterium. RNAcentral's name for it is "partial 16S ribosomal RNA". It matches the Rfam family "Bacterial small subunit ribosomal RNA", at positions 29 to 507 of the family's 1533-position model. The record is from RNAcentral.